CCUGCACCGGCCCAGGGAGCUUCUCUCCUGAGCUUUCUGCAAUCUCCCAUCUCCAGCCUCAGACUUGAGACAGGGCUGGACAAGGAAGCAGAUAGGGAAAGAAAGCAGAAGUGGGGCUCAGACCCUGGGAGAGGGGACUCCACCUUGUCCUACCAGAGCCUGAUGCAGUGACAAGUGACAUCUGAGAAGAGGCCACCAGGGAUCGGGCUGCUCGGCUACUGGCAGCUCUGUUCCUCCUGAAUGUCUCAGGCUGUUUUGCUGUGGGCGGCCCCAGCACCAUGACAGACACCGCAGUGGGGAUCCCUGAAUGUGCAGUGUCAGUAUGAGGAGGAAUACAGGACUUUCAACAAAUACUGGUGCAGACAACCACUUUUUCUACUAUGUGACAAGACUGUAAAGGCUGGAGAGUCAGCAGGAGUGAGUAAUGGCUGAGUGUCCAUCAGGGACCAUCCUGCAAACCUCAGCUUCACAGUGACCCUGGAGAGCCUCACAGAGGAGGAUGCAGGUGGAUAUUUGUGUGGGGUCAAUAGACUAUUGCUCCAAGAAUUUCAAGAUCUUGUCGCCGAGACUGACCUGUGAUGCCCCUGCAGCCCUGACAGCGGCCUCCAGUCUCAGAGCUCCACGGGCACCUCGGGUCCUCCCGUUACGUCCCAGCGUGCACCUGGCCCAGCUCUACCAGACAGGACAGCCCUGAUCCCAGCCCACACCCAGGCUCCCUGUUCAGCAGCCCCUACGUCCUGCUCCUGGUCCUGGAGCUGCCCCUGCUCCUGAGCAUGCUGGGUGCCGUCGUCUGGGUGAACGGACCUCAGAGAAGCUCUGGAAGCAGGCAGAGUUGGCCAGAGGGUGAGAACCAGUAG
RNAcentral lists this long non-coding RNA (857 nucleotides) under Homo sapiens (human). Its description in RNAcentral is "non-protein coding lnc-CD300C-3:1". The record is from RNAcentral. Lineage: Eukaryota; Metazoa; Chordata; Mammalia; Primates; Hominidae.